AGCCAAGCAGGCUAUGGCUGCGCUAAGUCUCCACAAUUUGUGGAGUCAUUUCCACCAGCCUGUAUUGUGUUCCUGGUUUCCACUGAUUUAUCCCUCUGUUGGCCCUUCCAGCAAUUGCCCCAGGACCUAGGAAUCAGCAGGACCAGACUGGGCAGGAUGCAGAACAAAGCAAAAACAUGAAAGGUCAAGCCUAUGUUUGGCCUUAAAAGUAUGCAAUGCUAUUAUGCUGUAAGAAAUG
RNAcentral lists this long non-coding RNA (238 nucleotides) under Phascolarctos cinereus (koala). RNAcentral describes it as "lncRNA (ENSPCIG00000014707.2)". The record is from RNAcentral. Lineage: Eukaryota; Metazoa; Chordata; Mammalia; Diprotodontia; Phascolarctidae.